UUAAGCGACUAAGCGUACACGGUGGAUGCCCUGGCAGUCAGAGGCGAUGAAGGACGUGCUAAUCUGCGAUAAGCGUCGGUAAGGUGAUAUGAACCGUUAUAACCGGCGAUUUCCGAAUGGGGAAACCCAGUGUGUUUCGACACACUAUCAUUAACUGAAUCCAUAGGUUAAUGAGGCGAACCGGGGGAACUGAAACAUCUAAGUACCCCGAGGAAAAGAAAUCAACCGAGAUUCCCCCAGUAGCGGCGAGCGAACGGGGAGCAGCCCAGAGCCUGAAUCAGUAUGUGUGUUAGUGGAAGCGUCUGGAAAGGCGCGCGAUACAGGGUGACAGCCCCGUACACAAAAAUGCACAUAUUGUGAGCUCGAUGAGUAGGGCGGGACACGUGGUAUCCUGUCUGAAUAUGGGGGGACCAUCCUCCAAGGCUAAAUACUCCUGACUGACCGAUAGUGAACCAGUACCGUGAGGGAAAGGCGAAAAGAACCCCGGCGAGGGGAGUGAAAAAGAACCUGAAACCGUGUACGUACAAGCAGUGGGAGCACGCUUAGGCGUGUGACUGCGUACCUUUUGUAUAAUGGGUCAGCGACUUAUAUUCUGUAGCAAGGUUAACCGAAUAGGGGAGCCGAAGGGAAACCGAGUCUUAACUGGGCGUUAAGUUGCAGGGUAUAGACCCGAAACCCGGUGAUCUAGCCAUGGGCAGGUUGAAGGUUGGGUAACACUAACUGGAGGACCGAACCGACUAAUGUUGAAAAAUUAGCGGAUGACUUGUGGCUGGGGGUGAAAGGCCAAUCAAACCGGGAGAUAGCUGGUUCUCCCCGAAAGCUAUUUAGGUAGCGCCUCGUGAAUUCAUCUCCGGGGGUAGAGCACUGUUUCGGCAAGGGGGUCAUCCCGACUUACCAACCCGAUGCAAACUGCGAAUACCGGAGAAUGUUAUCACGGGAGACACACGGCGGGUGCUAACGUCCGUCGUGAAGAGGGAAACAACCCAGACCGCCAGCUAAGGUCCCAAAGUCAUGGUUAAGUGGGAAACGAUGUGGGAAGGCCCAGACAGCCAGGAUGUUGGCUUAGAAGCAGCCAUCAUUUAAAGAAAGCGUAAUAGCUCACUGGUCGAGUCGGCCUGCGCGGAAGAUGUAACGGGGCUAAACCAUGCACCGAAGCUGCGGCAGCGACGCUUAUGCGUUGUUGGGUAGGGGAGCGUUCUGUAAGCCUGUGAAGGUGUGCUGUGAGGCAUGCUGGAGGUAUCAGAAGUGCGAAUGCUGACAUAAGUAACGAUAAAGCGGGUGAAAAGCCCGCUCGCCGGAAGACCAAGGGUUCCUGUCCAACGUUAAUCGGGGCAGGGUGAGUCGACCCCUAAGGCGAGGCCGAAAGGCGUAGUCGAUGGGAAACAGGUUAAUAUUCCUGUACUUGGUGUUACUGCGAAGGGGGGACGGAGAAGGCUAUGUUGGCCGGGCGACGGUUGUCCCGGUUUAAGCGUGUAGGCUGGUUUUCCAGGCAAAUCCGGAAAAUCAAGGCUGAGGCGUGAUGACGAGGCACUACGGUGCUGAAGCAACAAAUGCCCUGCUUCCAGGAAAAGCCUCUAAGCAUCAGGUAACAUCAAAUCGUACCCCAAACCGACACAGGUGGUCAGGUAGAGAAUACCAAGGCGCUUGAGAGAACUCGGGUGAAGGAACUAGGCAAAAUGGUGCCGUAACUUCGGGAGAAGGCACGCUGAUAUGUAGGUGAAGUCCCUCGCGGAUGGAGCUGAAAUCAGUCGAAGAUACCAGCUGGCUGCAACUGUUUAUUAAAAACACAGCACUGUGCAAACACGAAAGUGGACGUAUACGGUGUGACGCCUGCCCGGUGCCGGAAGGUUAAUUGAUGGGGUUAGCCGCAAGGCGAAGCUCUUGAUCGAAGCCCCGGUAAACGGCGGCCGUAACUAUAACGGUCCUAAGGUAGCGAAAUUCCUUGUCGGGUAAGUUCCGACCUGCACGAAUGGCGUAAUGAUGGCCAGGCUGUCUCCACCCGAGACUCAGUGAAAUUGAACUCGCUGUGAAGAUGCAGUGUACCCGCGGCAAGACGGAAAGACCCCGUGAACCUUUACUAUAGCUUGACACUGAACAUUGAGCCUUGAUGUGUAGGAUAGGUGGGAGGCUUAGAAGUGUGGACGCCAGUCUGCAUGGAGCCGACCUUGAAAUACCACCCUUUAAUGUUUGAUGUUCUAACGUUGACCCGUAAUCCGGGUUGCGGACAGUGUCUGGUGGGUAGUUUGACUGGGGCGGUCUCCUCCUAAAGAGUAACGGAGGAGCACGAAGGUUGGCUAAUCCUGGUCGGACAUCAGGAGGUUAGUGCAAUGGCAUAAGCCAGCUUGACUGCGAGCGUGACGGCGCGAGCAGGUGCGAAAGCAGGUCAUAGUGAUCCGGUGGUUCUGAAUGGAAGGGCCAUCGCUCAACGGAUAAAAGGUACUCCGGGGAUAACAGGCUGAUACCGCCCAAGAGUUCAUAUCGACGGCGGUGUUUGGCACCUCGAUGUCGGCUCAUCACAUCCUGGGGCUGAAGUAGGUCCCAAGGGUAUGGCUGUUCGCCAUUUAAAGUGGUACGCGAGCUGGGUUUAGAACGUCGUGAGACAGUUCGGUCCCUAUCUGCCGUGGGCGCUGGAGAACUGAGGGGGGCUGCUCCUAGUACGAGAGGACCGGAGUGGACGCAUCACUGGUGUUCGGGUUGUCAUGCCAAUGGCACUGCCCGGUAGCUAAAUGCGGAAGAGAUAAGUGCUGAAAGCAUCUAAGCACGAAACUUGCCCCGAGAUGAGUUCUCCCUGACCCUUUAAGGGUCCUGAAGGAACGUUGAAGACGACGACGUUGAUAGGCCGGGUGUGUAAGCGCAGCGAUGCGUUGAGCUAACCGGUACUAAUGAACCGUGAGGCUUAACCUU
Molecule: ribosomal RNA, 2904 nt
Filed under: Escherichia coli KTE42
Lineage: Bacteria; Pseudomonadati; Pseudomonadota; Gammaproteobacteria; Enterobacterales; Enterobacteriaceae
Description: bacterial LSU rRNA
Rfam family: Bacterial large subunit ribosomal RNA
Source: RNAcentral